Molecule: non-coding RNA, 72 nt
Organism: Podarcis lilfordi (Lilford's wall lizard)
Lineage: Eukaryota; Metazoa; Chordata; Lepidosauria; Squamata; Lacertidae
Source: the annotation of a GenBank genome assembly
UUCGCAUCCUGAGGUACCACUGUGUGUGUGUGUGUAUACACACACACACACAGUGGUACCUCAGGAUGCGAA